This 484-nucleotide ribosomal RNA is filed under the name uncultured bacterium. RNAcentral's name for it is "partial 16S ribosomal RNA". It matches the Rfam family "Bacterial small subunit ribosomal RNA", at positions 30 to 507 of the family's 1533-position model. The record is from RNAcentral.
AUUGAACGCUGGCGGCAGGCCUAACACAUGCAAGUCGAGCGGAUGAAGGGAGCUUGCUCCUGGAUUCAGCGGCGGACGGGUGAGUAAUGCCUAGGAAUCUGCCUGGUAGUGGGGGAUAACGUCCGGAAACGGGCGCUAAUACCGCAUACGUCCUGAGGGAGAAAGUGGGGGAUCUUCGGACCUCACGCUAUCAGAUGAGCCUAGGUCGGAUUAGCUAGUUGGUGGGGUAAAGGCCUACCAAGGCGACGAUCCGUAACUGGUCUGAGAGGAUGAUCAGUCACACUGGAACUGAGACACGGUCCAGACUCCUACGGGAGGCAGCAGUAGGGAAUAUUGGACAAUGGGCGAAAGCCUGAUCCAGCCAUGCCGCGUGUGUGAAGAAGGUCUUCGGAUUGUAAAGCACUUUAAGUUGGGAGGAAGGGCAGUAAGUUAAUACAUUGCUGUUUUGACGUUACCAACAGAAUAAGCACCGGCUAACUUCGUG